GCGUCGCCUGCAGCGGAGAAGUGCCGAUCGCUCCUGACUUGGUUUAGCUGUGGAGAUCACGGUGAAGGUAAAUGAUGCAACUUAAUUCAUUGUCACCCAUGACAAGCAGGUCCUCGGGGAGAGGCUUGACAGAGUGGCUCAUCAGACCCUAAUGAAGAGAGAUGCAGAGAUCUGAGCUGGAUGGAGACACUGGACGCCUGCAGCUGUUCCUCGUUAGCGCUCUUCAUUACCCCCUCAACUGCAGCCAGCCAGCGGAGGAUUAUUCCCUUUCGCUGCCCCGCUAGCUUCACGUUUAUUUCCUGCUGUUAGCCUCUUCAGUUAGUCUUCUUCGCCCUACCGUUUUGCAGCCCAGUAGGUUGUCCAGCUCCCACUGUCGUACAUCCUCUGUUGUUUUUUUUGUCUUCUGCUUUUCCAUGGUGCCUCCCCUGUUUAUGCACCGUCGCCCUCAGUCUGGAAUAUGAUUUCAUGGUCUACUGAGUUAAAAGCAGUUCCUGAACCCCCAAGGGCGAGUGUUUGUGUCUGCUGGCCACAAGUGUUAAAGGUUUGUCCUGUUGAAAAAGCCAGUCAUUUCCACACUAGCUUGGGCCUUCAAUCUUGAGGGAUGCCGCCUGCAACAUCUCCACAUUGCCAGCUGCUGUUUGAUUCCCAUGCACAACCUGAAGCUCCCUUGUUGCAUUGAAGGUAAAAGCACUCCAGAUCAUGAA
Non-coding RNA from Doryrhamphus excisus (bluestripe pipefish), 704 nucleotides. The record is from RefSeq and is a predicted model, not a curated record. NCBI's taxonomy places the organism in Eukaryota, Metazoa, Chordata, Actinopteri, Syngnathiformes, Syngnathidae.